RNAcentral lists this ribosomal RNA (467 nucleotides) under uncultured bacterium. RNAcentral's name for it is "partial 16S ribosomal RNA". It matches the Rfam family "Bacterial small subunit ribosomal RNA", at positions 28 to 506 of the family's 1533-position model. The record is from RNAcentral.
GACGAACGCUGGCGGCGUGCUUAACACAUGCAAGUCGAACGGAAAGGCCCUGCUUUUGUGGGGUGCUCGAGUGGCGAACGGGUGAGUAACACGUGAGUAACCUGCCCUUGACUUUGGGAUAACUUCAGGAAACUGGGGCUAAUACCGGAUAGGAGCUCCUGCUGCAUGGUGGGGGUUGGAAAGUUUCGGCGGUUGGGGAUGGACUCGCGGCUUAUCAGCUUGUUGGUGGGGUAGUGGCUUACCAAGGCUUUGACGGGUAGCCGGCCUGAGAGGGUGACCGGCCACAUUGGGACUGAGAUACGGCCCAGACUCCUACGGGAGGCAGCAGUGGGGAAUAUUGCACAAUGGGCGGAAGCAUGAUGCAGCAACGCCGUGUGCGGGAUGACGGCCUUCGGGUUGUAAACCGCUUUCGCCUGUGACGAAGCGUGAGUGACGGUAAUGGGUAAAGAAGCACCGGCUAACUACGU